UAGUCCACGCCGUAAACGAUGUGUGCUAGUUGUCGGGUCUUUAAGAUUCGGUGACGCCGCUAACGCAUUAAGCACACCGCCUGGGGAGUACGGUCGCAAGAUUAAAACUCAAAGGAAUUGACGGGGACCCGCACAAGCGGUGGAGCAUGUUCUUUAAUUCGAAGCAACGCGCAGAACCUUACCAACCCUUGACAUCCCUAUCGCGGUUACCAGAGAUGGUUUCCUUCAGCUCGGCUGGAUAGGUGACAGGUGCUGCAUGGCUGUCGUCAGCUCGUGUCGUGAGAUGUUCGGUUAAGUCCGGCAACGAGCGCAACCCACGUCCUUAGUUGCCAGCAGUUCGGCUGGGCACUCUAGGGAAACUGCCGGUGAUAAGCCGGAGGAAGGUGUGGAUGACGUCAAGUCCUCAUGGCCCUUACGGGGUUGGGGCUACACACGUGCUACAAUGGGCACCUACAGUGAGUUAAUCUCCAAAAGGUGUCUCAGUUCGGGAUUGGGGGUCUGGCAACUCGACCCC
RNAcentral lists this ribosomal RNA (514 nucleotides) under uncultured bacterium. RNAcentral's name for it is "bacterial SSU rRNA". It matches the Rfam family "Bacterial small subunit ribosomal RNA", at positions 791 to 1319 of the family's 1533-position model. The record is from RNAcentral.